RNAcentral lists this ribosomal RNA (991 nucleotides) under Dissophora globulifera. RNAcentral's name for it is "eukaryotic LSU rRNA". It matches the Rfam family "Eukaryotic large subunit ribosomal RNA", at positions 92 to 944 of the family's 3401-position model. The record is from RNAcentral. Lineage: Eukaryota; Fungi; Mortierellomycota; Mortierellomycetes; Mortierellales; Mortierellaceae.
AGUGAAGCGGGAUGAGCUCAAAUUUAAAAUCUGGCUGGUUUACCAGUCCGAGUUGUAGUUUAAAGAAGCGUUUUCGGUGGCAGGCCGGGUAUAAAUCCUUUGGAACAGGGUAUCAUAGAGGGUGAGAAUCCCGUCUUUGACUCGGCUGAUGUUACUAUGUGAUACGUUUUCAAAGAGUCGAGUUGUUUGGGAAUGCAGCUCAAAAUGGGUGGUAAAUUUCAUCUAAGGCUAAAUAUUGGCGAGAGACCGAUAGCGAACAAGUACCGUGAGGGAAAGAUGAAAAGAACUUUGAAAAGAGAGUUAAACAGUGCGUGAAAUUGUUGAAAGGGAAACGUUUGACACCAGCUAUGUAGGCGGAAAAUCAGUCAAGCGCAGUGAGGGGCUGGUGUUUGUCCGGACCGCAAGGCCGGCGGAUAUCUCAUCUUUGCUGUGGGUGAUGCACUUUUUCGUUCGCAGGUCAACAUCAGUUUCGCUUGCUGGACAAAACCCCGAGAGAAGGUAGCAGCUUUGGCUGUGUUAUAGCUCUGGGGCGAUACAGUGGGUGGGACUGAGGAUUCGCAGUGUGUGCUCUCGGGCAAGGCUGACUGGGUGCUCUGGGGUCGUUUGGCGUACAAUGCUUGCAUUUUGCGUCUUGUCUUCUUCAGACUCGCUUAGUUCGGCUCUUCCACGCUUAGGAUGUUGACUUAAUGGUUUUAAACGACCCGUCUUGAAACACGGACCAAGGAGUCUAACAUGCAUGCAAGUGUUUGGGUGGCAAACCCAUGCGCGUAAUGAAAGUGAACGUAGGUGCGAUCCGCAAGGUGCAGCAUCGACCGAUCUUGAUAUUUUUGGAUAGAUUUGAGUAAGAGCAUGUAUGCUGGGACCCGAAAGAUGGUGAACUAUGCCUGAAUAGGGUGAAGCCAGAGGAAACUCUGGUGGAGGCUCGUAGCGAUUCUGACGUGCAAAUCGAUCGUCAAAUUUGGGUAUAGGGGCGAAAGACUAAUCGACCAUC